GACGAACGCUGGCGGCGUGCCUAAUACAUGCAAGUAGAACGCACAGUUUAUACCGUAGCUUGCUACACCAUAGACUGUGAGUUGCGAACGGGUGAGUAACGCGUAGGUAACCUGCCUGGUAGCGGGGGAUAACUAUUGGAAACGAUAGCUAAUACCGCAUAAUAUUGAUUAUUGCAUGAUAAUUGAUUGAAAGAUGCUAUUGCAUCACUACCAGAUGGACCUGCGUUGUAUUAGCUAGUAGGUGAGGUAACGGCUCACCUAGGCGACGAUACAUAGCCGACCUGGAAGGGUGAUCGGCCACACUGGGACUGGGACACGGCCCAAGCUCCUACGGGAGGCAGCAAGAGGGAAACUUUGGCAAUGGACGAAAGUCUGACCGAGCAACGCCGCGGGAGUGAAGGAGGGUUUCGGAUCGUAAAGCUCUGUUGUAAGAGAAGAACGGGUGUGAGAGUGGAAAGUUCACACUGUGACGGUAGCUUACCAGAAAGGGACGGCUAACUACGUG
This 505-nucleotide ribosomal RNA is filed under the name uncultured bacterium. Its description in RNAcentral is "partial 16S ribosomal RNA". It matches the Rfam family "Bacterial small subunit ribosomal RNA", at positions 28 to 507 of the family's 1533-position model. The record is from RNAcentral.